GACGAACGCUGGCGGCGUGCUUAACACAUGCAAGUCGAGCGGUAAGGCCCUUUCGGGGGUACACGAGCGGCGAACGGGUGAGUAACACGUGGGUGACCUGCCCUCAGCUCUGGGAUAAGCCCGGGAAACUGGGUCUAAUACUGGAUAUGACUCCAUGACGCAUGUUGUGGGGUGGAAAGCCUUGUGCGGCUGAGGAUGGGCCCGCGGCCUAUCAGCUUGUUGGUGGGGNGAUGGCCUACCAAGGCGACGACGGGUAGCCGGCCUGAGAGGGCGACCGGCCACACUGGGACUGAGACACGGCCCAGACUCCUACGGGAGGCAGCAGUGGGGAAUCUUGCGCAAUGGGCGAAAGCCUGACGCAGCGACGCCGCGUGAGGGAUGACGG
RNAcentral lists this ribosomal RNA (385 nucleotides) under uncultured bacterium. RNAcentral describes it as "bacterial SSU rRNA". It matches the Rfam family "Bacterial small subunit ribosomal RNA", at positions 28 to 414 of the family's 1533-position model. The record is from RNAcentral.